RNAcentral lists this small RNA (345 nucleotides) under Arabidopsis thaliana (thale cress). RNAcentral's name for it is "ATSL162840". Lineage: Eukaryota; Viridiplantae; Streptophyta; Magnoliopsida; Brassicales; Brassicaceae. The record is from RNAcentral.
UUUUUUAGAAGAUACAAAGCCAAACAUUCAUACGGACUUUGGUUACACCAUUAAAGCUUUGAGAAGCAAGAAAAAGCUUGGUUAUUGUUUUGGAGUCAAAUAUGCCUAGAUGUCAUGUGUAUGAUUGAGUACAAGAACUCGAACCGCAACUGGAUCUUGAAAGCCCAAGUAGUGUUUCCUUGUUAGAAGAUACAACGCCAAUGACUCAUACGGAUUUCGGCUACACCAUCAAAUCUUUGAGAAGGAACAAGAAUCUUGGUUUGUGUUUUGGAGUUAGAUAUAAAUUGAUGUCAUGUCUAUGGUUGAGUAUUAGAACUUGAACCGCAAACGGAUCCGAAAAGGAAA